This 852-nucleotide long non-coding RNA is filed under the name Actinidia chinensis (golden kiwifruit). RNAcentral's name for it is "long non-coding RNA (ACHI_LNC006898)". Lineage: Eukaryota; Viridiplantae; Streptophyta; Magnoliopsida; Ericales; Actinidiaceae. The record is from RNAcentral.
CAAGCAGAGGUUGAAGCUAAGAGAGCAAAAUCAUCAUCCAACUCUACCAAUCGUCUUCUUUGGUUAAGGUGAGUAAUAAUUUGUAGUAUUACUUACCAAAAAAAUAAUUUACAGUAUAAAAUUAUAAAAAAUAGUAAUUCAUUGCAUUAUUUUCCAAAAAAACAACUUCCUGGACAUCCAAGCUGGGCUGAUGAGGCUAUUGGAAAUCUGGUUUAUAAAUAAUUUUAUAAGCCAAAGUCGAAAUCUUUUCAAAUGGCGAUCAGGGUUACAUAGAGAGCUGAGAUUAUAUCUCUACUAGUAUAAAAAAAAGGAAAAACAUAAGUUCUGCCACACCUUUUUCUUCCCAAAAACAUUCCCUUAAAAUAAAAGGAAAAUUAUGUACGACCCUUUUUGCAAUGAUGCACCUUAGAAACGGGGAAUCUUUGCAAUUCUCAAUAUCCCCACAGCCUCCCGACCACAUAGCCUCCAAUAAAGAGAUUAGAUUACUAUUCUUGCAAAGCACUUCACCUUCUAUAAGGCAUCUAGCACAACUGAAUGGUCUAUUGUCAAUAUUCUUGUUUUCCCAUCUCCUUGAUGACUUUUUUCCUUUUGUACAGCUUCAUAUCGUUAAUUUUCUUGCAAAGAAAAGGAAAUAGUGCACUAGCAUGGGAAUUGAGAAUUUUGCUCUCCUUUCUUUGGCUGUAAGGAGUUUAUAGGUCAGUUUAGUUUAUGCCUUUAUUCCUACCUUGCCAGGGUUCAAACCUUGACACCCCCUCCCCCUUCCCCGCUUAGAAAUAAAUAGAGUAGGAAUUGCUUGUAUAAAAAAAUUACUUAUGCAGGGAUACACAUUGGAAGCAAACGGUCUUGUACCAC